GUCUAUGGCCAUGCCACCCUGAACAAGCCCGAUCCCAUCUGCUCUCGGAAACUAAGCAGGGCCGGGCCUGGUUAGUACUUGGAUGGGAGACCACCUAGGAAGACCAGGUGCUGUAGGUG
Non-coding RNA from Pteropus alecto (black flying fox), 119 nucleotides. The record is from Rfam. NCBI's taxonomy places the organism in Eukaryota, Metazoa, Chordata, Mammalia, Chiroptera, Pteropodidae.